GACGAACGCUGGCGGCGUGCUUAACACAUGCAAGUCGAGCGGUAAGGCUCCAGCUUGCUGGGGUACACGAGUGGCGAACGGGUGAGUAACACGUGGGUGACCUGCCCUGCACUUCGGGAUAAGCCUGGGAAACUGGGUCUAAUACCGGAUAGGACCAUGGUGUGGAUACUGUGGUGGAAAGUUUUUUCGGUGUGGGAUGGGCCCGCGGCCUAUCAGCUUGUUGGUGGGGUAAUGGCCUACCAAGGCGGCGACGGGUAGCCGGCCUGAGAGGGUGGACGGCCACAUUGGGACUGAGACACGGCCCAGACUCCUACGGGAGGCAGCAGUGGGGAAUAUUGCACAAUGGGCGGAAGCCUGAUGCAGCGACGCCGCGUGGGGGAUGACGGCCUUCGGGUUGUAAACUCCUUUCACCAUCGACGAAGGGUUUCUGACGGUAGAUGGAGAAGAAGCACCGGCUAACUACGUG
RNAcentral lists this ribosomal RNA (466 nucleotides) under uncultured bacterium. Its description in RNAcentral is "partial 16S ribosomal RNA". It matches the Rfam family "Bacterial small subunit ribosomal RNA", at positions 28 to 507 of the family's 1533-position model. The record is from RNAcentral.